Molecule: transfer RNA, 73 nt
Filed under: Narke japonica (Japanese sleeper ray)
Lineage: Eukaryota; Metazoa; Chordata; Chondrichthyes; Torpediniformes; Narkidae
Description: tRNA-Lys
Rfam family: tRNA
About the family: Transfer RNA (tRNA) molecules are approximately 80 nucleotides in length. Their secondary structure includes four short double-helical elements and three loops (D, anti-codon, and T loops). Further hydrogen bonds mediate the characteristic L-shaped molecular structure. tRNAs have two regions of fundamental functional importance: the anti-codon, which is responsible for specific mRNA codon recognition, and the 3' end, to which the tRNAs corresponding amino acid is attached (by aminoacyl-tRNA synthetases). tRNAs cope with the degeneracy of the genetic code in two manners: having more than one tRNA (with a specific anti-codon) for a particular amino acid; and 'wobble' base-pairing, i.e. permitting non-standard base-pairing at the 3rd anti-codon position.
Source: RNAcentral
CAUUAAGAAGCUAAAAUGGAAAUAGCAUUAGCCUUUUAAGCUAAAUUAUGGUGCCUCUUAGCACCCUUAAUGA